This 279-nucleotide ribosomal RNA is filed under the name uncultured bacterium. RNAcentral's name for it is "partial 16S ribosomal RNA". It matches the Rfam family "Bacterial small subunit ribosomal RNA", at positions 506 to 784 of the family's 1533-position model. The record is from RNAcentral.
UGCCAGCAGCCGCGGUAAUACGGAGGGUGCAAGCGUUAUCCGGAAUCACUGGGUUUAAAGGGUCCGCAGGCGGGAUAAUAAGUUAGUGGUGAAAUAUCGGGGCUCAACCUCGGUGCUGCCAUUAAAACUGUUGUUCUUGAGUUUAGUUGAAGUGGGCGGAAUAUAGCAUGUAGCGGUGAAAUGCGUGGAUAUCAGGAGGAACAUCAAUGGCGAAGGCAACUUACUGGACAUUUACUGACGCUCAGACACGAAGGCUAGGGUAGCGAAAGGGAUUAGAUA